UUUGAUGUUUAAAGUUGAAGUUUGUGACAGUUGCAGUGCAGAUAUAUGAGAUGACGAUGUUCACAUGUUUGUUUUGAUUUUUUUUUCUUCUUAAUUACAACCACUUUGUUUAUGAUUUUAUAAUCUUAUUCCAGUGUGCUACAGUUGCCUAAAGACUUUGGUUAGCAAUGCUGCAUGUGUUCUAUAACAUUAUUUUUAUGUCUCAAUAUAGUUCCAGAAUUUGUUCUCCAAAUGUGAGAUGGUAGAGGCAGUUUAGUGAGUCGUAUUAGUGUGACUUUGGUUGCAAAUAUUGCAACAAAAGUCAAAGGAGAAGGGGAAGAUGUCACAGUGUUGUGCAAGGGUUAUUAAUUAGUUUAAUAGAUGUUAUCAAAGCUCACCGAUAGACUUGACAGAGACCAGACAAAGGUUAGGACAAUGUCAGUUAGGUGUUUGUCUUGUAGAGAGACUGAUAUGUGGGUCGGGACAGACAUUAGCAAUGUUAGUUUAGGCGUAGGCUAGAUACUCAGCCUAUAUAGAGUAGAGUUUGGGGCAAUCGGGACACAACGCCAUGUAGUUUUAGCAGGGGCGUGUGUCGUAUGCUAGGCGUUUUCUGGUGAACGACACAUACAGACAUUGGGAGCAAGUCGCCGAGGUUGGCUCGCGAUCUUGGCUCCAAGAUGUGUGAGUUGUUUGCCAGAGACAACAUGUAGGAACUUUAAUUCUUAAGGACCAGGAGUGACAGUCUUGGCGACUGUCUGAGUCUUAGUGACAGUCUGACGGUCAGAGACGGUAGAUCUAUAUAUGGUGUAUCCUUGCCUGCUACGCAAGGGGAUAUCACUCUAGUAUUGAGCGGACUGUGACGUUGGGUUCCAGGAUCCGUGCAGAGACUAGAGAGAGAGAGAGAGAGAGAGAGACAAGAGAAAUGGAGAGUUCAUCGUGACCUACAGCCAAGUAUCAAUAUCUAUGUGAUUAUUAAAUUUUAAUUCUAGAAUCACAUGAGUAUUAUAUGUAAUUAUAGUUGUUAAUUAAAUAUUUAUUUUUCUUAUGAAAA
Molecule: long non-coding RNA, 1030 nt
Organism: Biomphalaria glabrata
Lineage: Eukaryota; Metazoa; Mollusca; Gastropoda; Planorbidae
Exons: 2
Source: RefSeq, a predicted model, not a curated record